GACGAACGCUGGCGGCGUGCUUAACACAUGCAAGUCGAGCGAUGAAAUUCCUUCGGGAAUGGAUUAGCGGCGGACGGGUGAGUAACACGUGGGUAACCUGCCUCAUAGAGGGGAAUAGCCUUCCGAAAGGAAGAUUAAUACCGCAUAAGAUUGUAAUACCGCAUGGUAUAGCAAUUAAAGGAGUAAUCCGCUAUGAGAUGGACCCGCGUCGCAUUAGCUAGUUGGUGCGGUAACUGCUCACCAAGGCGACGAUGCGUAGCCGACCUGAGAGGGUGAUCGGCCACAUUGGGACUGAGACACGGCCCAGACUCCUACGGGAGGCAGCAGUGGGGAAUAUUGCACAAUGGGGGAAACCUUGAUGCAGCAACGCCGCGUGAGUGAUGACGGUCUUCGGAUUGUAAAACUCUGUCUUCAGGGACGAUAAUGACGGUACCUGAGGAGGAAGCCACGGCUAACUACGUGCCAGCAGCCGCCGUAA
RNAcentral lists this ribosomal RNA (478 nucleotides) under uncultured bacterium. RNAcentral's name for it is "partial 16S ribosomal RNA". It matches the Rfam family "Bacterial small subunit ribosomal RNA", at positions 28 to 523 of the family's 1533-position model. The record is from RNAcentral.